CCCACACAGAAGAGCAAUGGCUUCUGGAUUUCCACAGGUCCUAAAUAUCCUCCAUGGCAUCAUUUUGAGGCUGCUUCUGUUCAAGAUUUCAGGAGGCGUCUGAGGUUUCUGAUGAGGACACUGAGACUUCGCUGAAGACACUUGAUGAAGGCAUCAGGCAAGCAGCCCAGUGUGACUGGAGAGGAGGAGGGCAGGGGAAGACUGCUGAGCUGAAGCAGAAGUAUAGCAGACCACCAGUCUACCUAUCGAUCUGAUGCUAUUCAAAAAUACACACAUCGAGCCAGUUUUCUUCUAGCUCCUCCUAGGAUUCAACGGGAAUGAGUCAACAGA
Long non-coding RNA from Mirounga angustirostris (Northern elephant seal), 330 nucleotides. RefSeq lists it as uncharacterized. The transcript has 3 exons. NCBI's taxonomy places the organism in Eukaryota, Metazoa, Chordata, Mammalia, Carnivora, Phocidae. The record is from RefSeq and is a predicted model, not a curated record.